Molecule: transfer RNA, 92 nt
Filed under: Nocardia neocaledoniensis NBRC 108232
Lineage: Bacteria; Bacillati; Actinomycetota; Actinomycetes; Mycobacteriales; Nocardiaceae
Description: tRNA-Gly
Source: RNAcentral
CCUGCGCGUGGUCGAGGACGAUCUGCACGGCGUUGCCGUCGCCGUCGGUGACGAACGCGGUGCGCAGGGUCUCGUGCCGGUCGAGCAGGGCC